RNAcentral lists this transfer RNA (69 nucleotides) under Zelandoperla fenestrata. RNAcentral describes it as "tRNA-Asp". Lineage: Eukaryota; Metazoa; Arthropoda; Insecta; Plecoptera; Gripopterygidae. The record is from RNAcentral.
GAAGAAAUUAGUUAAAUUAACAUUAGUAUGUCAUGCUAAAAUUAUUAGUUAUUAAUCUAAUAUUUCUUA